ACAAGCGGUAGAUGGAUGUGGAUUAAUUCGAUGCAACGCGAAGAACCUUACCUACCCUUGACAUGUCCGAACUUGCCAGAGAUGGCUUGGUGCCCGAAAGGGAAUCGGAACACAGGUGCUGCAUGGCUGUCGUCAGCUCGUGUCGUGAGAUGUUGGGUUAAGUCCCGCAACGAGCGCAACCCUUAUCAUUAGUUGCUACGCAAGGGCACUCUAAUGAGACUGCCGGUGACAAACCGGAGAAGGUGGGGAUGACGUCAAGUCCUCAUGGCCCUUAUGGUAGGGCUUCACACGUCAUACAAUGGUCGGUACAGAGGGUUGCCAAGCCGCGAGGCGGAGCCAAUCCCACAAAGCCGAUCGUAGUCCGGAUUGUUCUCUGCAACUCGAAAGCAUGAAGUCGGAAUCGCUAGUAAUCGCAGGUCAGCAUACUGCGGUGAAUACGUUCCCGGGUCUU
RNAcentral lists this ribosomal RNA (451 nucleotides) under uncultured Thiobacillus sp. Its description in RNAcentral is "bacterial SSU rRNA". It matches the Rfam family "Bacterial small subunit ribosomal RNA", at positions 925 to 1382 of the family's 1533-position model. Lineage: Bacteria; Pseudomonadati; Pseudomonadota; Betaproteobacteria; Nitrosomonadales; Thiobacillaceae. The record is from RNAcentral.